AUUCGAAGCAACGCGAAGAACCUUACCAGGUCUUGACAUCCCGAUGCUAUUUCUAGAGAUAGAAAGUUACUUCGGUACAUCGGUGACAGGUGGUGCAUGGUUGUCGUCAGCUCGUGUCGUGAGAUGUUGGGUUAAGUCCCGCAACGAGCGCAACCCUUGAUCUUAGUUGCCAGCAUUCAGUUGGGCACUCUAAGGUGACUGCCGGUGACAAACCGGAGGAAGGUGGGGAUGACGUCAAAUCAUCAUCGCCCCUUAUGACCUGGGCUACACACGUGCUACAAUGGACGGUACAAAGGGCUGC
RNAcentral lists this ribosomal RNA (301 nucleotides) under uncultured Bacillus sp. RNAcentral's name for it is "bacterial SSU rRNA". It matches the Rfam family "Bacterial small subunit ribosomal RNA", at positions 949 to 1250 of the family's 1533-position model. The record is from RNAcentral. Lineage: Bacteria; Bacillati; Bacillota; Bacilli; Caryophanales; Bacillaceae.